This 463-nucleotide ribosomal RNA is filed under the name uncultured bacterium. RNAcentral's name for it is "partial 16S ribosomal RNA". It matches the Rfam family "Bacterial small subunit ribosomal RNA", at positions 28 to 507 of the family's 1533-position model. The record is from RNAcentral.
GACGAACGCUGGCGGCGUGCUUAACACAUGCAAGUCGAGCGGUAAGGCCCUUCGGGGUACACGAGCGGCGAACGGGUGAGUAACACGUGAGUAAUCUGCCCAUCACUUCGGGAUAACUCCGGGAAACCGGUGCUAAUACCGAAUAUGACCACUUCAGGCAUCUGAUGGUGGUGGAAAGUUCCGGCGGUGAUGGAUGAGCUCGCGGCCUAUCAGCUUGUUGGUGGGGUAGUGGCCUACCAAGGCUUCGACGGGUAGCCGGCCUGAGAGGGUUACCGGCCACACUGGGACUGAGACACGGACCAGACUCCAACGGGAGGCAGCAGUGGGGAAUAUUGGACAAUGGGCGAAAGCCUGAUCCAGCAACGCCGCGUGAGGGAUGACGGCCUUCGGGUUGUAAACCUCUUUCAGCAGGGACGAAGCGCAAGUGACGGUACCUGCAGAAGAAGCACCGGCCAACUACGUG